UACGUAGGGGGCAAGCGUUGUCCGGAUUUAUUGGGCGUAAAGAGCGUGUAGGCGGCCAUUCAGGUCAGCUGUGAAAACUCGAGGCUCAACCUCGAGACGUCGGUUGAAACCGUAUGGCUAGAGUCCGGAAGAGGAGAGUGGAAUUCCCGGUGUAGCGGUGAAAUGCGCAGAUAUCGGGAAGAACACCCAUGGCGAAGGCAGCACUCUGGGACGGUACUGACGCUGAGACGCGAAAGCGUGGGGAGCAAACAGG
RNAcentral lists this ribosomal RNA (253 nucleotides) under uncultured bacterium. RNAcentral describes it as "partial 16S ribosomal RNA". It matches the Rfam family "Bacterial small subunit ribosomal RNA", at positions 524 to 776 of the family's 1533-position model. The record is from RNAcentral.